Molecule: ribosomal RNA, 432 nt
Filed under: uncultured bacterium
Lineage: Bacteria
Description: partial 16S ribosomal RNA
Rfam family: Bacterial small subunit ribosomal RNA
Source: RNAcentral
AACGAACGCUGGCGGCAUGCCUAACACAUGCAAGUCGAACGAGACCUUCGGGUCUAGUGGCGCACGGGUGCGUAACGCGUGGGAACCUGCCUUUAGGUUCGGAAUAACUCAGAGAAAUUUGAGCUAAUACCGGAUGAUGUCUUCGGACCAAAGAUUUAUCGCCUUUAUAUGGGCCCGCGUUGGAUUAGCUAGUUGGUGGGGUAAAGGCCUACCAAGGCGACGAUCCAUAGCUGGUCUGAGAGGAUGAUCAGCCACACUGGGACUGAGACACGGCCCAGACUCCUACGGGAGGCAGCAGUGGGGAAUAUUGGACAAUGGGCGAAAGCCUGAUCCAGCAAUGCCGCGUAGGUGAUGAAGGCCUUAGGGUUGUAAAGCUCUUUUACCCGAGAUGAUAAUGACAGUAUCGGGAGAAUAAGCUCCGGCUAACUCCGU